CUUUGUCUACUUGUGUCUUAUUCUGAAUGUUUCAUGUAAAUAUUCUUUAUGACUAUCUACUUUUAACUUAAAUACUCUAGACCAGCAACACACAUUGUAAGAAAUUUUUAAUCAAAAUUAUAUUAAAUUAAAUGAGCAAGUCUAGCAUAGAAAUUAAAUUGAAGAGGUAAAUCUAUCAAUGACCUCAUUCUAAUUCUCAUAUGAUUUUGAUGAUGACAAAAAGAGAGAGAGUUAGCAAAGAAAUAGACAAUGCAUUGAAACUUAAGACUGUAAAAAUGAAAACUUAAGCUAAUGUAACAAUAUAUUUUUUUUUAUUUUAGCAUAAUCUAAGGGGGAGCACAAUGAGUGUGAUUGAAACUUAAAGUUGAACUUGCAAACAAUUCAAGCACAAUGUAAGGGGGAGCAUUAUUGAUAAUCUAAGAAAUUUGAAAACUUAAAGCAUUUGACUGCCUUGUAAUUACUUGUACAUAUUGUAUAUGUUGAUCAUAGUAAUUAUUCUUUAAUGAGUGCUCAAUAUUUUAUCAUCA
Molecule: long non-coding RNA, 527 nt
Filed under: Elaeis guineensis (African oil palm)
Lineage: Eukaryota; Viridiplantae; Streptophyta; Magnoliopsida; Arecales; Arecaceae
Description: long non-coding RNA (EGUI_LNC039049)
Source: RNAcentral